GACGAACGCUGGCGGCGUGCCUAAUACAUGCAAGUAGAACGCUGAAGAGAGGAGCUUGCUCUUCUUGGAUGAGUUGCGAACGGGUGAGUAACGCGUAGGUAACCUGCCUUGUAGCGGGGGAUAACUAUUGGAAACGAUAGCUAAUACCGCAUAACAAUGGAUGACACAUGUCAUUUAUUUGAAAGGGGCAAUUGCUCCACUACAAGAUGGACCUGCGUUGUAUUAGCUAGUAGGUGAGGUAAUGGCUCACCUAGGCGACGAUACAUAGCCGACCUGAGAGGGUGAUCGGCCACACUGGGACUGAGACACGGCCCAGACUCCUACGGGAGGCAGCAGUAGGGAAUCUUCGGCAAUGGGGGCAACCCUGACCGAGCAACGCCGCGUGAGUGAAGAAGGUUUUCGGAUCGUAAAGCUCUGUUGUAAGUCAAGAACGGGUGUGAGAGUGGAAAGUUCACACUGUGACGGUAGCUUACCAGAAAGGGACGGCUAACUACGUGCCAGCAGCCGCGGUAAUACGUAGGUCCCGAGCGUUGUCCGGAUUUAUUGGGCGUAAAGCGAGCGCAGGCGGUUUGAUAAGUCUGAAGUUAAAGGCUGUGGCUCAACCAUAGUUCGCUUUGGAAACUGUCAAACUUGAGUGCAGAAGGGGAGAGUGGAAUUCCAUGUGUAGCGGUGAAAUGCGUAGAUAUAUGGAGGAACACCGGUGGCGAAAGCGGCUCUCUGGUCUGUAACUGACGCUGAGGCUCGAAAGCGUGGGGAGCGAACAGGAUUAGAUACCCUGGUAGUCCACGCCGUAAACGAUGAGUGCUAGGUGUUGGAUCCUUUCCGGGAUUCAGUGCCGCAGCUAACGCAUUAAGCACUCCGCCUGGGGAGUACGACCGCAAGGUUGAAACUCAAAGGAAUUGACGGGGGCCCGCACUUGCAAUGGAGCAUGUGGUUUAAUUCGAAGCUUCGCGAAGAACCUUACCAGGUCUUGACAUCCCGAUGCUAUUUCUAGAGAUAGAAAGUUACUUCGGUACAUCGGUGACAGGUGGUGCAUGGUUGUCGUCAGCUCGUGUCGUGAGAUGUUGGGUUAAGUCCCGCAACGAGCGCAACCCCUAUUGUUAGUUGCCAUCAUUCAGUUGGGCACUCUAGCGAGACUGCCGGUAAUAAACCGGAGGAAGGUGGGGAUGACGUCAAAUCAUCAUGCCCCUUAUGACCUGGGCUACACACGUGCUACAAUGGUUGGUACAACGAGUUGCGAGUCGGUGACGGCGAGCUAAUCUCAACAAGCCAAUCUCAGUUCGGAUUGUAGGCUGCAACUCGCCUACAUGAAGUCGGAAUCGCUAGUAAUCGCGGAUCAGCACGCCGCGGUGAAUACGUUAAGGGGCCUUGUACACACCGCCCGUCACACCACGAGAGUU
RNAcentral lists this ribosomal RNA (1400 nucleotides) under Streptococcus thermophilus. RNAcentral describes it as "bacterial SSU rRNA". It matches the Rfam family "Bacterial small subunit ribosomal RNA". Lineage: Bacteria; Bacillati; Bacillota; Bacilli; Lactobacillales; Streptococcaceae. The record is from RNAcentral.